UGAGAAGAAGAUGGGCAA
RNAcentral lists this unclassified non-coding RNA (18 nucleotides) under Mus musculus (house mouse). Its description in RNAcentral is "oocyte_clustered_small_RNA10344". The record is from RNAcentral. Lineage: Eukaryota; Metazoa; Chordata; Mammalia; Rodentia; Muridae.